AUUGAACGCUGGCGGCAGGCCUAACACAUGCAAGUCGAGCGGAUGAAGGGAGCUUGCUCCUGGAUUCAGCGGCGGACGGGUGAGUAAUGCCUAGGAAUCUGCCUGGUAGUGGGGGAUAACGUCCGGAGACGGGCGCUAAUACCGCAUACGUCCUGAGGGAGAAAGUGGGGGAUCUUCGGACCUCACGCUAUCAGAUGAGCCUAGGUCGGAUUAGCUAGUUGGUGGGGUAAAGGCCUACCAAGGCGACGAUCCGUAACUGGUCUGAGAGGAUGAUCAGUCACACUGGAACUGAGACACGGUCCAGACUCCUACGGGAGGCAGCAGUGGGGAAUAUUGGACAAUGGGCGAAAGCCUGAUCCAGCCAUGCCGCGUGUGUGAAGAAGGUCUUCGGAUUGUAAAGCACUUUAAGUUGGGGGGAAGGGCAGUAAGUUAAUACCUUGCUGUUUUGACGUUACCAACAGAAUAAGCACCGGCUAACUUCGUG
RNAcentral lists this ribosomal RNA (484 nucleotides) under uncultured bacterium. Its description in RNAcentral is "partial 16S ribosomal RNA". It matches the Rfam family "Bacterial small subunit ribosomal RNA", at positions 30 to 507 of the family's 1533-position model. The record is from RNAcentral.